UACGUAGGGUGCAAGCGUUAAUCGGAAUUACUGGGCGUAAAGCGUGCGCAGGCGGUUUUGUAAGUCUGUCGUGAAAUCCCCGGGCUCAACCUGGGAAUUGCGAUGGAGACUGCAAGGCUAGAAUCUGGCAGAGGGGGGUAGAAUUCCACGUGUAGCAGUGAAAUGCGUAGAGAUGUGGAGGAACACCGAUGGCGAAGGCAGCCCCCUGGGUCAAGAUUGACGCUCCAUGCACGAAAGCGUGGGGAGCAAACAGG
Molecule: ribosomal RNA, 254 nt
Filed under: uncultured bacterium
Lineage: Bacteria
Description: partial 16S ribosomal RNA
Rfam family: Bacterial small subunit ribosomal RNA
Source: RNAcentral